CCUUCAUGUGUCUUUGGGAAUUACAAAAGCGAACACAUUUUUAGGAUUUAUUAUAAUACAUACCAUUCUUUAAUCGCACGAGCUUCAUGCAUCAACAGCCAAAGCACAAACCAUUUUGCUAUACGUACAAUUUGUUGAAGCAUUCGUUUCCAUCGUUCGGUCUUCAACUCUGCAUAUAAUACAGUCAGAAUAUUUCCAUUCUUCCAAUGCCUUCGCUUCUUUAUCGCUCUCGAUUCAACUUAAUAAUGACACAGC
Non-coding RNA from Paramuricea clavata, 255 nucleotides. Lineage: Eukaryota; Metazoa; Cnidaria; Anthozoa; Malacalcyonacea; Plexauridae. The record is from the annotation of a GenBank genome assembly.